Molecule: long non-coding RNA, 1262 nt
Organism: Rosa chinensis
Lineage: Eukaryota; Viridiplantae; Streptophyta; Magnoliopsida; Rosales; Rosaceae
Exons: 4
Source: RefSeq, a predicted model, not a curated record
CUAAUUCUCUCCUUCCUCUCCCCCUCGGCCGCGUUCUCUCUCUCCCCGAUCUCUCUCUUUAUCUUCUUCUUCCCUCUGCUACCACCAGAGACUCCAUCUCCGGCCACCGCCUCACAUCACCGCUACCACCAAUUGAUGCAUCACCUAAAUCCGACCCAAACCCAAGAGAGAUCGAAGCCAUGCAUCAACCCUGACCUCUUGCUCCCUCUCUCUUCUUCUUCCUUCUGCAACCACCGGAGAACACCCUCUCCGGCCACCAUCUCACCACACCGCGUCCACCAGUAGAGGCAGCACCCAAACCCGACCAUAACCCGAGUUUACCUUAGAUAUUCACCUCCUCCAGCCACUACAUGCGACCACCUAGCCGAAAAGGCUACUUCUGAUCACUUUUUACACUCACCGCCAUCACCAAUAGAUCGGGACCAGGCCACUCACCCAAAGCCCGAAGCCUUUGCACCGUCUGAUGCCAGAAUACUACCGAUGUCGAAGUACAGCCACUGCCUUUCCCUAAUCUCCAACCUCCGGCCAAAAUCGAGCUUCAACACCUCUAUAAACAAAGUCAGAGCUGCACUAUCUUUCGAAACCCCAAAACUCUGACCUCCGAUUCCGACCCAAUCCGCCAUACGCGAUGCACGCGCCGCCGCUGGCGCGUGGAUCACCGUAGCUCCUCCGCUCACAGUCACUGAGCCUUCAGAUCGUCUCUGUUAGGUAAUUUACGUCAUCCUAGACUGGGUUGAAGCCUCUAUUCCGAUUUAGACUAAAAACCCUAAUUUCUAUUGUUUAAAUUGGAUUGUGUGAGCUUUGGAGAAUCUGCAUUUGGGUUUAAAGAGGAGAGCCCCAAGGUGAGGCUUUGAUUGAAUCACCGUUGAAGGAGAAGCGGCUCUAAAGAAAUCGAGUUUCGUGUCGAAGGCUAUCGUAGCAGAGGAGUUAAUUUUGGAGAAGAAGAAUGGACUGGAGCGUGUGCACAUGGAAUUGGAUGAAGUAUCCAAUGUCAGAGACAAAACUAAGUUUGGGCGAGCACUCCAUAUCCAGUGUGCAGGUUUCGAGUAUGUGGUCGGGGAGCGUACAGAGGAGGGAGGCAUAUGGCCCGACUUGGCACAUUCUUCUUUAGUUUUAUUAGACGAGAGUUUUGGUCUCUUAUCGGAUUUUGAAGUAACCUAUUUAUUUACUUUCUAUUUAAUUAUUUGUUUUCUACUCCCUUAUUUACAAAUUUCGAGAGACCCAUAACCCUGGAGCGCGUCUCUCAUACUUGUUUUUACUUA